GAUGAACGCUGGCGGCGUACCUAAUACAUGCAAGUCGAGCGAACAGACGAGGAGCUUGCUCCUCUGACGUUAGCGGCGGACGGGUGAGUAACACGUGGAUAACCUACCUAUAAGACUGGGAUAACUUCGGGAAACCGGAGCUAAUACCGGAUAAUAUAUUGAACCGCAUGGUUCAAUAGUGAAAGACGGUUUUGCUGUCACUUAUAGAUGGAUCCGCGCCGCAUUAGCUAGUUGGUAAGGUAACGGCUUACCAAGGCAACGAUGCGUAGCCGACCUGAGAGGGUGAUCGGCCACACUGGAACUGAGACACGGUCCAGACUCCUGCGGGAGGCAGCAGUAGGGAAUCUUCCGCAAUGGGCGAAAGCUUGACGGAGCAACGCCGCGUGAGUGAUGAAGGUCUUCGGAUCGUAAAACUCUGUUAUUAGGGAAGAACAAAUGUGUAAGUAACUAUGCACGUCUUGACGGUACCUAAUCAGAAAGCCACGGCUAACUACGUG
This 497-nucleotide ribosomal RNA is filed under the name uncultured bacterium. RNAcentral describes it as "partial 16S ribosomal RNA". It matches the Rfam family "Bacterial small subunit ribosomal RNA", at positions 28 to 507 of the family's 1533-position model. The record is from RNAcentral.